Molecule: long non-coding RNA, 776 nt
Filed under: Homo sapiens (human)
Lineage: Eukaryota; Metazoa; Chordata; Mammalia; Primates; Hominidae
Description: HSALNT0048337
Source: RNAcentral
CAGGGAGGACAUCUUGGUGGCUGGGGCAGGGACAGGAGGGAGACUUUCCCAGCCUGUGUGAGCUAAUAGUGGCAAGUAUUUGGGAAAAAAGAAGGGUCUAGACAGAGAAGAUGGUGGAUCAGAGAAGAGCAUGGAGCAUGAGAGGGUGGACCUGAUGAGGUGGGAAGCCAGGCGUGCCCCACUGCCGGAGCAGGACUGCAAGGGGCUGCUGCAGACAACACAUGGAAAGCCACUGCCUCUGAGCCUUUGCAUUUGCAGUUCCCUCUGUGUGGAACAGCCUUCUCCCCAGACAUCCUUGUUCCUGCCUUCCUGUUUCACCCAGGUGGAACCUUCUGAGGAACUACUUAACAAUAUACAUACUGAUCCAUUGUGGAAUUAUUAAGGAAAAUACAUUGAAAUAGGUGGCAUUCUUGUCAAAGAUAUAUAUGGACGGCUAGAUGGAUAGAUAGGUGAAAAUCAUGUUCCAUGGAAGAAGAGUUAGCUCAGCCUGCAACUCAAACAAGUACAGAUAUUCUUCCAUGGAAUGACCAUCAUACUUGGAUUGUAAUAAAAAUGCUUUAGGCAAACUUCUCAUUUCAUCCUUGGCAUAUUAAAAAUAUGUAUGUAUGUUUAAGGCUUGAAACUUAACACUGUAUUUUAAUGUUUCAGUAAGGUAAUUCUUCUUAAAUAAAAUUGGCAUUUUUAAAAAAGCCCUCUCUCACCACUCCUAUUCAACAUAGUGUUGGAAGUUCUGGCCAGGGCAAUUAGGCAGGAGAAAGAAAUAAAGGGUAUUCAAU